GGGCGAGUUGCCGUACUGGUGCUCACACAGGCGUCUGCCGGAGAAGAGGAACGCAUGACAAACUGUUCCACACAGGUCGUGUUCACUCAAUCCCUUUUUCUCUGGAUCACAUCGAUUUUACAGGUUUUCUGUUCUGAGAGUCCUGGAGGUGGCGGUACUCACCUGGAUGUGUCUGCGACACUCCCUGAAGCCCUGGGCGAGCAUGGUGACCACGUCUUUGUGGUCGUCCAGCAGCUGCUGCACCAGCUUACAGAAACGAGCCUCCACGUCCUGAUCUUUGAUCUGUCAACAAACGAGCACACUUCAUAUCAAACCGUCACAGGCUUAAGGUAGGACACUCACCGGGGGAAAGUCUAUCAGCAUGUGGUAGGCUCUGAUAUACAGUUCAUGCUGUAAGAAAGGAGAGGACAGAUGGAGGCUGUAGUUAGACCGAUUCUCUGUGAUCGUCCAUCCAACCAGAAAUCAUCACACCACCAGCACCGGCCCCUGACUGGGCCCCCACAGCACAACUGAUAAGUCCACAUGUGGCUUACAUUUACAAAACAUUUCAUGAUGCUUCGAUGUGAUGAAUUUCUCUGUGUUCACAACAAAGCCGAACAACUCCUCCCCAGAAACUAAGCUUUGCUCCUCGGUUACAUCUGAGUUGAAACCGACUUGACGAUUUCAAGCUUGAAUUCAUGGUCUGAACUUGUAUCAGUUGAAACUCAAAACCUGCUCCAACCAUUGUUUCCUUUACGAUAAAAGAGCUGAGUGAGAGUGAGUUAAACCACCCUGACCUACAUUACAACCAGUGGCAUUCAAACGGAGCUAUGCUUUAUGCAAUCAGAACAGAGGAGCUCCGUGAUGCCAGAAAGGAAGGAAUCUAGGUGAAAGUUCAUCAGCAACAAGACAUGCAGAGGCGGUGAAUUGGUUUUGAAGAGCCUGCUUGGACAAACAGAGAGUGAGAGAGAGAGAGAGAGAGCACAGUGUUCCCACAUGAAAACGAAUGAGAAACUGAAAAUAAAAACAUUGCAUGUUCAUCCUGAUCUGGUUUCAUUUAGCUGCUUGUGUCUGCAUGAAAUAAAAUCUAAUGACUAUGU
Molecule: long non-coding RNA, 1079 nt
Organism: Seriola aureovittata
Lineage: Eukaryota; Metazoa; Chordata; Actinopteri; Carangiformes; Carangidae
Exons: 3
Source: RefSeq, a predicted model, not a curated record